This 459-nucleotide ribosomal RNA is filed under the name uncultured bacterium. Its description in RNAcentral is "partial 16S ribosomal RNA". It matches the Rfam family "Bacterial small subunit ribosomal RNA", at positions 338 to 795 of the family's 1533-position model. The record is from RNAcentral.
CCUACGGGAGGCAGCAGUGAGGAAUAUUGGUCAAUGGUCGGGAGACUGAACCAGCCAAGCCGCGUGAGGGAGGAAGGUACAGAGUAUCGUAAACCUCUUUUGUCAGGGAACAAAGGCGGGGACGUGUCCCCGGAUGAGUGUACCUGAAGAAAAAGCAUCGGCUAACUCCGUGCCAGCAGCCGCGGUAAUACGGAGGAUGCGAGCGUUAUCCGGAUUUAUUGGGUUUAAAGGGUGGGCGGGCGGUCGGUUAGGUCAGCGGUAAAAGCCCGGGGCCAAACCCCGGCCCGCCGUUGAAACUGGCAGUCUCGAGUUGGAGAGAGGUAUGCGGAAUGCGCGGUGUAGCGGUGAAAUGCAUAGAGAUCGCGCAGAACUCCGAUUGCGAAGGCAGCAUGCCGGCUCCACACUGACGCUGAGGCACGAAAGCGUGGGUAUCGAACAGGAUUAGAUACCCCAGUAGUC